This 478-nucleotide ribosomal RNA is filed under the name uncultured bacterium. Its description in RNAcentral is "partial 16S ribosomal RNA". It matches the Rfam family "Bacterial small subunit ribosomal RNA", at positions 28 to 523 of the family's 1533-position model. The record is from RNAcentral.
GACGAACGCUGGCGGCGUGCUUAACACAUGCAAGUCGAACGGUAAGGCCCUUCGGGGUACACGAGUGGCGAACGGGUGAGUAACACGUGGGUGAUCUGCCCUGCACUUCGGGAUAAGCCUGGGAAACUGGGUCUAAUACCGGAUAGGACCCUGGGAUGCAUGUCCUGGGGUGGAAAGCUUUUGCGGUGUGGGUUGGGCCCGCGGCCUAUCAGCUUGUUGGUGGGGUGAUGGCCUACCAAGGCGACGACGGGUAGCCGGCCUGAGAGGGUGACCGGCCACACUGGGACUGAGAUACGGCCCAGACUCCUACGGGAGGCAGCAGUGGGGAAUAUUGCACUAUGGGCGCAAGCCUGAUGCAGCGACGCCGCGUGAGGGAUGACGGCCUUCGGGUUGUAAACCUCUUUCAGCACCGACGAAGCGCAAGUGACGGUAGGUGCAGAAGAAGGACCGGCCAACUACGUGCCAGCAGCCGCGGUAA